Molecule: long non-coding RNA, 1622 nt
Organism: Triplophysa rosa
Lineage: Eukaryota; Metazoa; Chordata; Actinopteri; Cypriniformes; Nemacheilidae
Exons: 4
Source: RefSeq, a predicted model, not a curated record
GUGCUUUGUCGCGCAGACUAAACUGAAACAUUAAAAGAUUCAGAAAAUGGACUAUUUUACAUGUAUGACUUGCAUAAGUGUGAGAAAUCACAGACCAUUUAAUAAAUCCAUUGACAAUCAUUCAUCUAUUUCAGUUAAACACAGAAUAGGCGUUACAGGAUUGUUUAUUGAUAAAUUCAUUUGGCAUUUUGGAAAUGAAACGUUUUUCGGGCAUGUUGUAAAAGAGUUAAAAUCUAAUCCCGGUCCAAAAUGCAUUAAAGACGAACAAAUUAUACUACAUGACAAUAUUAGAUUGAAAUGGCAUUUUACGUGUGUUAUAAUAAUUUGGUCUCACAAGGAACAAAAAAUACUAAAAAGUGGGCUUGGUUAUUAUUAUAGAUCUGGAUUUGUAGUGACCGUAAAACAUGUCAUUGAGAAUCUUGAUGAUUGUAGUAUACUUGUAAUGUUUCCGCAAUAUGAAAAUUGUCUCAUGUAUUUGGUUCAUUGUGCAGAAACAAAUCAAAACCAGGAUUUGGCUAUACUUAAGUUGCAAGGUUCUGUGGAUCCUCUACAAUUUGAAAAUAUAAAAACAACAACAAAUCGAAUUUACAUAAACGACAGCAUUUAUUUUUUUUCUCUGAACACUAAAGGUACCUUCGAAAAAAAGAAGGGCAAAAUUAUGAAGCACCAUCCCGGCGUAAAAGACAUGCUCGAAAAUGAAUUACUGAUUUCUGUAGUAGGGAUUAAAGGGGACAGUGGAGGUCCUGUUUUUUCUUCAAAAAGUGGAAAACUGAUUGGGCUAUUUAGAGGGGUUUCCACAUCCAAAUGUGGAUUACAAGAAUAUGGCCGGGUUGUAAAAAUUGAUGAGUCUUUUCUAAAUUGUAAUUAAAAAGAAAAAAUGGCAAUAAAAAUAUUAAAUAAAUAAAAAAUCAAUAAAAAAAUACAAAAAAGUACAAAUAAAUGAAAAUAUAAAUAAUUAGUUAUUGAUUUUUGAAUAAUUUUAAUUAGACUUCCUACACCGCCAUAGUCCCCACACCCCCAUCUUGUGAUCUGACUGUCAUUGAAGGCUCUAAAACAGGAGUGUCUAAAUCGGAUGGAUGGCUUCUGUCCUGCAGAGUUUGCCUGCAAGUCUUCAGGACAAAGAAACUUCCAGGCAGUGUUGAGGCUAAACUCUGCAGGACCGCAGCCCUCCAGGAACCGAGUUUGACACCCAUGUUAUUUGACAAUGUUGCAGUUCUCACAGCAAGUCUGUACUUGUAAAAUUGCUCCGUCUGGCAGCGUCCCGAAGAGAGAUCUUGUGCCUUACCCAAAACAACAUCUUGUGUCCUGUGUUGGUCUGGAGAUGUUUUGUGUGUUGCAGCCUUGCAGGAGUGAUAUUGAAAUGCAUCUUGGACAAAAGUGGUUCUGCAACGCAUCUUGGACAAAAACAUCAAUGUUUUAAGGAAAUGCGUCUCACUUCAUCUCAACAUCAUGCUGAAAACACCUACAGCCGAACAUCCUCCAGACUGCACUCUGAAUGGCACUUCGGGUCAAGCCUCGGUCCAGUCAAGCGGACUGUCUCACUUUCCCUCUCUCUUCGUAUAACAUAAAAAUCUUUGUUUUUUUUUUGAGAACAUUGUUGUCAUUAAAAAGCAAAGAACAAA